This 489-nucleotide ribosomal RNA is filed under the name uncultured Oscillospiraceae bacterium. Its description in RNAcentral is "partial 16S ribosomal RNA". The record is from RNAcentral. Lineage: Bacteria; Bacillati; Bacillota; Clostridia; Eubacteriales; Oscillospiraceae.
CACGUAGUUAGCCGUGGCUUCUUCUGCAGGUACCGUCCUUUUGUCUUCCCUGCUGAAAGAGGUUUACAAUCCGAAGACCGUCUUCCCUCACGCGGCGUCGCUGGGUCAGGCUUGCGCCCAUUGCCCAAUAUUCCCCACUGCUGCCUCCCGUAGGAGUCUGGACCGUUUCUCAGUUCCAAUGUGGCCGUUCAACCUCUCAGUCCGGCUACCGAUCGUCGGCUUGGUGAGCCGUUACCCCACCAACUACCUAAUCGGACGCGAGCCCAUCUGUUAGCGAUAAAUCUUUGGCAUUAACACCAUGCGAUAUCAAUGCGUUAUGCGGUAUUAGCGUCCGUUUCCAGACGUUAUUCCCCUCUAACAGGCAGGUUGCUCACGCGUUACUCACCCGUCCGCCACUAAGUUAACCUGAAGCAAGCUUCUGGUCAACUCCGUUCGACUUGAAUGUGUUAUGCACGCCGCCAGCGUUCAUCCUGAGCCAGGAUCAAACUC